UCUAAAGUGCCACUUAUUAGGCGUAGAUAAUAUAUAUAUUCCCGUCCUAGUAAAGAGAGGAGCUUAGGAGCGGGCCGUCGCCAUCGGAGUCUCGGACGACUUCAAGCGGAUUCCCCGCGGCUACGGCAAUAAGUGGACGAGGAACACCGGGGGGUUUUAGCCGGUACUAUUGAAGAUAGAUGAGGACGAAGUCAAUUCUAUGCGCUUAUCGUGAGGAUUUCACCAUGGAUUCCAGGGAUUUCCACAAUGAGAUCCAGGGAAAAUCGCGUGAACUUUAAUCAAACAAUUAUCUUCAUAAUGGUUAGUUAUAUCGUAACGGCGGUCUCGCUCGCGACCUCAACACACGUGCGUACGGGACGGUGGUUACUGCCGACUACUCGCGUCUACCCCUGCGCUCGGAGCGUCGAGGUGCGGGCGGAGAAGUAUGCGGGGAGCGAUAG
Molecule: long non-coding RNA, 440 nt
Organism: Galleria mellonella (greater wax moth)
Lineage: Eukaryota; Metazoa; Arthropoda; Insecta; Lepidoptera; Pyralidae
Exons: 3
Source: RefSeq, a predicted model, not a curated record